This 487-nucleotide small RNA is filed under the name Pongo abelii (Sumatran orangutan). Its description in RNAcentral is "processed transcript". The record is from RNAcentral. Lineage: Eukaryota; Metazoa; Chordata; Mammalia; Primates; Hominidae.
UGGUGUAUUUGGCUGAUGUACUGAAAAGCAACACUACCCUGGAAGUAAUAGAUCUUUCCUUUAACAGAAUAGAAAAUGCAGGCGCAAACUAUCUCAGUGAAACUCUUACUUCACACAACAGGAGUCUUAAAGCGCAUAUUCAGACUUAAUUCAAAUGGGUUGUUUAAAACCAGACAAUACAGAUGUGGAGCCAUUUGUGGUAGAUGGACGUGUAUAUCUUGCAGAAGUCUCCAAUGGCCUUAAAAAGCAUUAUUAUUGGACAUCAACUUAUGGAGAAUCUUAUGAUCACUCAUCUAAUGCAGGUUUUGCUCUUGUUCCAGUAGGUCAACGGCCAUGAAAAAGUAGCUCUAAAAUAAUUUUCAUACAUUUGUCUUAUUGUUUCACAGAGAUUAAUAUUCUAUAGCCUAUUUUCUUUUAUAAAUUAAAACAAGUUACUUUUUUCAAAUGUGUAAAAGAUAAUGACUGUAUUAAACUUUGUAUAACUGUC